Molecule: long non-coding RNA, 915 nt
Filed under: Pongo abelii (Sumatran orangutan)
Lineage: Eukaryota; Metazoa; Chordata; Mammalia; Primates; Hominidae
Description: lincRNA
Source: RNAcentral
AAAAAGAAUCUGGUUGAAACCUCAGUAACAAUCGGCCUGUCUACUGCCUCACACUAACAAGUGACCACACCUUUACAACUGUCUGUAAUUCUCACUAGCAGUAUAUUAGAGGGCAAAAGAUUUGAACAGACAUAUCAGAAAAGAAGACAUACAAAUGGCCACUAAGCACUUAAAAGGAUUCUGAACAUCAUUAGUCAUCAGUGAAAUGCAAAUUAAAGCCAUAAUGAAUGACGCUAUACAUUUUCAGAAUGGCAAGGACUAAAGACUGAAAAAAAUCAAGCGUUGAGGAGAGUGACAAAUGGGGAGACAGCUGUGGUGCAUGAUCGCAGAAGAAAUACCAUGUGAGGAUACAGCAAGAAGUUGGCCAUCUACAAGCCAAGGAGACAGGCCUCAGAAGAAACCAACCCUUCUUACACCCUGGACUCAGACUUCUAACCUCCAGAACUUGUUAAUGCACAAGGUCUUUUGUUGAAAAUGUAGAGCUACAAGAUAAAAGCAGCUUGGAUGGCUGACUCAUAUACAAGGACAACUGCCUGAGAGUCACCAGGACUAUCAAGAAGUUUGCAGAAACAAGAAAUACACUUUUACUGUUUUUAAACUUUUGUGAAUUUUGGGUUUUGUUUACCACCGAAUAAACCUAGUCUAUUCUGAUUGUUAUAAGUGGUUAAUUUGGGAAGUCAGAUAUAUUUAAAAUUGGCUUACUGCUGCAACAUAUACAGUCCAAAUUACAUAAUGGCUCAAAUGCAAUAGAAGUCUUUUUUUUUUUUUUUUUUUUUUUUUUGCUCACAUAUCACUUCAUUGAGAUUCUGCAUUAAUUGUAAUGAUGAGGGUGGGGGUGUCUUAUAUCAUACAGUUGUUCAGCAACCCAGGAUGACCAACUUUGUAAUAUUUUUUCCCACUGGCUUCUAAAGUUCU